This 459-nucleotide long non-coding RNA is filed under the name Carassius auratus (goldfish). RNAcentral's name for it is "lncRNA (ENSCARG00000012986.1)". The record is from RNAcentral. Lineage: Eukaryota; Metazoa; Chordata; Actinopteri; Cypriniformes; Cyprinidae.
AGGCCUAUAUAUUAAAAUGUUUGUCUAAAAGCUGCUAAUUCAAUGUCCGUACGUUUGCUAAUGAGCAACAAAUGUGGGCCGUUCGAAAGGAGGCUCAAACGGGGGGCUAGAUGAGGGGAUGGAUAAAAAAAAAGGCAUAAGGACGACGCCUUUUCCAUCUGUUGUUUAAGAAGAAAGAAGAAAGCUUUUAUCUGGCUUUGGCCACAUACUGAACUCUGUCACCGCUUCUGCGGCUUACGGAGGACAAGAGGCGGUAAAGCAGCCUCGGAUGUCAGUGAAAGGUGCUCCAGCCCGGCUCCCAUCUUCACCUGGUGAGAUCCGAUCCAAUAAUAGCCGUUGUGUGUGUUAGGCUUUAAUGAGGGCUCAUCGACCCCCACCUGCCCAGCAGUCCAGAUGAAUGCCAAAACGCACUCAGCAGCAUCAUUUCUCCGCUCUCUUUUAUGUUAUGAGGUAUUAUGU